Gigantopelta aegis is the source of this 1031-nucleotide long non-coding RNA. RefSeq lists it as uncharacterized. The transcript is spliced from 3 exons. The record is from RefSeq and is a predicted model, not a curated record. NCBI's taxonomy places the organism in Eukaryota, Metazoa, Mollusca, Gastropoda, Neomphalida, Peltospiridae.
CGUUUAUGUCGCAACUUUUAACUUUUACAUCAUUAGAUUUCGUCAUCCAUUGUGUCAUAGGUGAAUCGGCUAAUAACUAUUUUAGAGUCAGUUCCAACGAUUUGCGAAGCUUGUCAGCUGUUCAUAAUAAAGCACUUGUACGUCAAUUGACGUUGUUGUUACCAUGGAAACUCGCCAUGGCAACCUACGUCAUACAGGAUUCGUUAGGACCUAUCGUUGGUGCCAAUCGGCUCUUGCGUUUGGAAGCUUGUAAAAAUAUUUACGAAAAUUAAAUUAAUAUCUUCGCUGUACACUUUAUUAUUAUACAUAUACAUAUAUGCACACAUCAUUUCGAAAUUGUACUCCGAAAACACCAACGACUAACCGUUGCGUUUCGUGCGCUCAGAACCAUAUGUAUUAAGCUGCUUCAGCAUUAGCCGAACUAUCUAUUUCGAUUCCUUUCGGCUUCUUUCGUUUCUAAUCUACGAUAACACUGGUUAUUUUUGCAGAGCAUUCAUCGACCGGCGAUCGGCAGCGAGCAAGAAUAGAACAGCAUCAAUCUAUUUUUAGUGCAGCUACAUUGGCUUAUAUUAUUAUUAUUCUCGAUAGCGAACUGGCAGCGUUCGCGUGAUUGUUUUGUUCCUAUGGAAAAGUGUAAGAGUCGAUGACUUAACUGAGCGUUGUGAGGUACAGGCAGCAUCAAACUAUUCAUAUUUUAAAAUGUCCAGCUGGCUACGGACCUGGGUACUUAGUGUUUUUACAGCAGUUUUGGAGUGAAAACAACUGACUAGAUGUCUAGAUGACUACAGGUCAUGUGGAUAUCACCAGUAUGGCGAAAUGUGCUGGAACGAAAUCUUCGUGCUGGAGAGUGGCAGUCAUCUUAUAAACAAAACACCUGACAGUAAUUCGCGGAUACAUAUAACUUCUUUUGAACUUUGCCUUGUACAGAGAUACAAGGUUGAUUACGCUCAAAGUUUUCUUGUUUCAGGCAAAAUAAAAUAGACACUUGUAUUGUUAUUAGACUCUCCAACAUGAAAGUAGUAGUAGUAAUA